GGCUCACUGCCGUAGAUUGGAGAAGAAUCGCCAGGGUUGCGUUGCGGUGUGCCCCGGUUCGAGACCGCUCGGGUCGGCCGAAUUCCGCGGCUAACGAGGGCGUGGCUGCCCCGUCGUUUCCAAGACCCCAUAAGCCAGCCGACUUCUCCAGUUACGGAGCGAGCCCCUCUUUU
RNAcentral lists this non-coding RNA (173 nucleotides) under Human adenovirus 4. Lineage: Varidnaviria; Bamfordvirae; Preplasmiviricota; Pharingeaviricetes; Rowavirales; Adenoviridae. The record is from RNAcentral.